GACGAACGCUGGCGGCGUGCUUAACACAUGCAAGUCGAACGGAAAGGCCUGUCCUUCCUUGUGUUGGACGGGUACUCGAGUGGCGAACGGGUGAGUAACACGUGAGUGAUCUGCCCCCAACUUGGGUAUAAGCCUGGGAAACCGGGUCUAAUUCCCGAUAGGACUGCAGGGUGGUGCCUGUGGUGGAAAACGAUUUUCUAGUGGUUGGGGAUGAGCUCGCGGCCUAUCAGCUUGUUGGUGGGGUAAUGGCCUACCAAGGCGGCGACGGGUAGCCGGCCUGAGAGGGUGGACGGCCACAUUGGGACUGAGAUACGGCCCAGACUCCUACGGGAGGCAGCAGUGGGGAAUAUUGCACAAUGGGCGGAAGCCUGAUGCAGCGACGCCGCGUGGGGGAUGACGGCCUUCGGGUUGUAAACUCCUUUCGACCGCGAGGAAGCCGCCUGGUUGGAAGGGUGGUGACGGUAGUGGUAGAAGAAGCACCGGCUAACUACGUG
Molecule: ribosomal RNA, 494 nt
Filed under: uncultured bacterium
Lineage: Bacteria
Description: partial 16S ribosomal RNA
Rfam family: Bacterial small subunit ribosomal RNA
Source: RNAcentral